UAGGGUGUAGCUCAGUGGUAGAGUGCUUGCCUAGCAUACAUGAGACCCUGGGUUCAGUUCCUUGCACUGGAA
RNAcentral lists this transfer RNA (72 nucleotides) under Urocitellus parryii (Arctic ground squirrel). Its description in RNAcentral is "Spermophilus parryii (Arctic ground squirrel) tRNA". It matches the Rfam family "tRNA". Rfam says of the family: Transfer RNA (tRNA) molecules are approximately 80 nucleotides in length. Their secondary structure includes four short double-helical elements and three loops (D, anti-codon, and T loops). The record is from Rfam by way of RNAcentral. RNAcentral also lists the same sequence under 2 other names. Lineage: Eukaryota; Metazoa; Chordata; Mammalia; Rodentia; Sciuridae.